This 1456-nucleotide long non-coding RNA is filed under the name Homo sapiens (human). Its description in RNAcentral is "HSALNT0279162". The record is from RNAcentral. Lineage: Eukaryota; Metazoa; Chordata; Mammalia; Primates; Hominidae.
GGAGGGAGGCCAGUCCUGGACUCCCCUCAACCCUGGGAUUCCAACACUCAGAUCACCCUGGCCUGGACAAUGGGACAGUGGGAGGAGCCACAUUCUCCUUGGAAGGCACGUGUUGUAAAUACCUUAAUAGGGUAGAUAAUGACCUUAGUUCAUCUUUGUGAAUGGCAGCAUCAUUCAAUUGUGGAUUACUGACGCUUGUGUGCCCAAAACUGAAACCCAUGUCUCAUUGCACAGGUCCCUCUCGGUCUAACAAGGACACCCGGCACACAAACAGCAAGGCUUCUCACUCCCCAAAGGUCACAGGUAGCACGUUCCCGCCAUAGACAAAGGUUGGAAGAGAUUAAUAAUGAAUCAAUCAUCUCUCCCUUUGCAGCUAGUGUCUAAAAGUGCUCAACUGUGGGGUGGAAAGAGAUCGUUGGGGGUGGUGGUGGGAGUGGAGAGCAGUGGGAAUGACCUCGAGUUCUGUGGGGUCCCAACAGGGAGGGUCAGGCUGUGGUUCCCCAGGGCCAUCUGCCCCAUCCCUCCCGGUGCUAAGGCCAGCCUUGGACUUGGAGGGCCAAGUUCUGGCCCUGAAUGUUUUUUCUUUCUGGCAGAGGAUGUAAAGCACAGGCCCCAAUGUCAUCUUACGUGGCAGAAUGCAUGCAGGGCAGGAGCCAGCUCAGCGGUGCCUCUCUAGAACCCAGUCUGGGCCAGGCCCUGUCAGAGCUGGAGGUUCCCCGAUGACUUCUGCAAGGCAUCUUUGAGAAACCUGCAGUCUUUUUGGGCCCCAGGUGUGCACAUGGGGUGAAUGUGGUGGCUGCAGUGCUGGGUGUGUGUCGGGGAUCAUGGAGGAGAGACCGAGACACAGUCACCGUGGUGCAAGGAGAGUACACAGCUGAGUCGGGUCUGAAGGCUGCUGUGGGCCCAGGAGGGCUGGAGCACCUCAGCCAGGUCCCGGGAGUGGGAGGAGGACAGAUGGCCUCUGCCUGGAGUCAGGGGUCUCUGCCCAGGCCUGUCCCUGCGGCUCCCGCUUUCUGGAUCUCAUGGCACGGCUGCUUCUUGCGGACCUUGUGUUGGGAACUCCUGAGGUUCAGGAGGCGGCCAGGCACCGUGGGGGAUGCUGUGUAGACAGCAGUCAAAGGAAGGAGUGUGUUGGGGGGUGCUGUGUGUGUGUUGUGAUGGCUGUGUGUGCCUGUGUGUAUGUGAGUGUGUAUGUUUUGAUGCCUGUGUGUGUCGGUGUGUGUGUGAGUGUGUGUGUGCCUGUGUGUGAGUGUGGUGCCUGUGUGUGGUGAGCUACAUGCCUGAGUGUGGGUGGGUGUAGUGAGUGGUGUGUGGUAUGGUAUGUGUGUGGUUUAUGGUACAUGGUUGUGGUGUGUGUGUGUAUGUGGUAUGUGGCUGUAGGGUGUUUGGUGUAUGUGUGUGGUGUGUGGUUUGUGUGUGGUUGUAGGGUGUGUGCAUGUGUGUGUGAUGUGUGUGG